GGGCCCGCACAAGCGGCGGAGCAUGCGGAUUAAUUCGAUGCAACGCGAAGAACCUUACCAAGGCUUGACAUAUACUGGACCGCAUCAGAGAUGGUGUUUCCCUUCGGGGCUGGUGUACAGGUGGUGCAUGGUUGUCGUCAGCUCGUGUCGUGAGAUGUUGGGUUAAGUCCCGCAACGAGCGCAACCCUCGUUCUAUGUUGCCAGCACGUUAUGGUGGGGACUCAUAGGAGACUGCCGGGGUCAACUCGGAGGAAGGUGGGGAUGACGUCAAAUCAUCAUGCCCCUUAUGUCUUGGGCUUCACGCAUGCUACAAUGGCCGGUACAGAGGGUUGCGAUACUGUGAGGUGGAGCUAAUCCCUAAAAGCCGGUCUCAGUUCGGAUUGGGGUCUGCAACUCGACCCCAUGAAGUCGGAGUCGCUAGUAAUCGCAGAUCAGCAACGCUGCGGUGAAUACGUUCCCGGGCCUUGUACACAC
RNAcentral lists this ribosomal RNA (474 nucleotides) under uncultured bacterium. RNAcentral's name for it is "bacterial SSU rRNA". It matches the Rfam family "Bacterial small subunit ribosomal RNA", at positions 917 to 1390 of the family's 1533-position model. The record is from RNAcentral.